This is a non-coding RNA of Caerostris extrusa, 99 nucleotides long. Lineage: Eukaryota; Metazoa; Arthropoda; Arachnida; Araneae; Araneidae. The record is from the annotation of a GenBank genome assembly.
AACGGCCAUGCCAUGCUGAAUAUACCGGUUCUCGUUAGAUCACUGAAGUCAAGCAUCAGUACUUGGGAGGGUGACCACCUGGGAACACCGCGUGCCGUU